This is a long non-coding RNA of Empidonax traillii (willow flycatcher), 335 nucleotides long. RefSeq lists it as uncharacterized. The record is from RefSeq and is a predicted model, not a curated record. Lineage: Eukaryota; Metazoa; Chordata; Aves; Passeriformes; Tyrannidae. The transcript has 4 exons.
UGUGGGAUAAAUCGCAGCAUGAUCAGAGAUAUGGAUCAGAUGAGCACAGAAAGCUGGUGAGAGUUUAAGUAAACUCUGGCCACCUUUUCCUCUGACUUUACCUCCAUAGGUGAGGAAGACAGCAGGUGAAUAGUAAGAUACAAAAACUGGAGCAAAAAUGAGUGUUAUUAAAGUGAAUCAAAGUGACAAUUGGAUUGGCAAGUACACAGAGGUACUGCACUCCAUCAGAUCCAUCAGAUGCAUCAUUCCCAACCUGGCAAGAUGUGGCCACCACAAGUGGCUGAGACUGAAGCGAAAAGCAGGCUCCAAUUCAGGACAUUCUUCCAAGAGAAGCC